This is a long non-coding RNA of Silurus meridionalis, 537 nucleotides long. RefSeq lists it as uncharacterized. Lineage: Eukaryota; Metazoa; Chordata; Actinopteri; Siluriformes; Siluridae. The transcript has 3 exons. The record is from RefSeq and is a predicted model, not a curated record.
UCUUCCUGUCAUCAUCAGAUGCUCUGUGGCACAGCCUGCCUGGCGUUCCGCUCGGUCACCCAUAGCCCCCAGCUCUGGUGGGGGUACGGCUUUUAGCAUUAUUGUUCUGUAACGUGUCCAAAAAGCUGCCUGUGACCCGUGUGGAUAGACACACAUGAACAAGCCUGCACAGAUAGGCCCAAUGUCUUUCCAAAAUCUCUGUGCGUCAUCCUUUUUGUUUUCAGUGCCAAAUGCUUUAUUGGGUUCUUUCUGGAUUCUGCGUCGCAUCAAUGCACUGUGACUCAGGCAAGAAUUAGCACAAAGGCGAUGAAUUUGGCUCGGAUUCAUGACAAACAAAAGCUCCAGAAGUUUUGGGAGCAGAAGAUUGAGAGACACCAUCAGAUGACUGGGAAAGAGGAAGCUCGAAUGAAGAGGAGUGCUUUAUCAAAGUUACGUAAGGAGUGGAUCCAGAGACUGCAGAUCCAGAGUCAGACUGGGAAUGGAAGUAUGAAUACAGAGGAAAUGAAAAAUACAUUAAAAUAGAAAACUCAAUUCUGA